RNAcentral lists this ribosomal RNA (2931 nucleotides) under Escherichia coli. RNAcentral's name for it is "bacterial LSU rRNA". It matches the Rfam family "Bacterial large subunit ribosomal RNA". Lineage: Bacteria; Pseudomonadati; Pseudomonadota; Gammaproteobacteria; Enterobacterales; Enterobacteriaceae. RNAcentral also lists the same sequence under 1 other name. The record is from RNAcentral.
GGGUUGUGAGGUUAAGCGACUAAGCGUACACGGUGGAUGCCCUGGCAGUCAGAGGCGAUGAAGGACGUGCUAAUCUGCGAUAAGCGUCGGUAAGGUGAUAUGAACCGUUAUAACCGGCGAUUUCCGAAUGGGGAAACCCAGUGUGAUUCGUCACACUAUCAUUAACUGAAUCCAUAGGUUAAUGAGGCGAACCGGGGGAACUGAAACAUCUAAGUACCCCGAGGAAAAGAAAUCAACCGAGAUUCCCCCAGUAGCGGCGAGCGAACGGGGAGCAGCCCAGAGCCUGAAUCAGUGUGUGUGUUAGUGGAAGCGUCUGGAAAGGCGUGCGAUACAGGGUGACAGCCCCGUACACAAAAAUGCACAUGCUGUGAGCUCGAUGAGUAGGGCGGGACACGUGGUAUCCUGUCUGAAUAUGGGGGGACCAUCCUCCAAGGCUAAAUACUCCUGACUGACCGAUAGUGAACCAGUACCGUGAGGGAAAGGCGAAAAGAACCCCGGCGAGGGGAGUGAAAAAGAACCUGAAACCGUGUACGUACAAGCAGUGGGAGCACGCUUAGGCGUGUGACUGCGUACCUUUUGUAUAAUGGGUCAGCGACUUAUAUUCUGUAGCAAGGUUAACCGAAUAGGGGAGCCGAAGGGAAACCGAGUCUUAACUGGGCGUUAAGUUGCAGGGUAUAGACCCGAAACCCGGUGAUCUAGCCAUGGGCAGGUUGAAGGUUGGGUAACACUAACUGGAGGACCGAACCGACUAAUGUUGAAAAAUUAGCGGAUGACUUGUGGCUGGGGGUGAAAGGCCAAUCAAACCGGGAGAUAGCUGGUUCUCCCCGAAAGCUAUUUAGGUAGCGCCUCGUGAAUUCAUCUCCGGGGGUAGAGCACUGUUUCGGCAAGGGGGUCAUCCCGACUUACCAACCCGAUGCAAACUGCGAAUACCGGAGAAUGUUAUCACGGGAGACACACGGCGGGUGCUAACGUCCGUCGUGAAGAGGGAAACAACCCAGACCGCCAGCUAAGGUCCCAAAGUCAUGGUUAAGUGGGAAACGAUGUGGGAAGGCCCAGACAGCCAGGAUGUUGGCUUAGAAGCAGCCAUCAUUUAAAGAAAGCGUAAUAGCUCACUGGUCGAGUCGGCCUGCGCGGAAGAUGUAACGGGGCUAAACCAUGCACCGAAGCUGCGGCAGCGACGCUUAUGCGUUGUUGGGUAGGGGAGCGUUCUGUAAGCCUGCGAAGGUGUGCUGUGAGGCAUGCUGGAGGUAUCAGAAGUGCGAAUGCUGACAUAAGUAACGAUAAAGCGGGUGAAAAGCCCGCUCGCCGGAAGACCAAGGGUUCCUGUCCAACGUUAAUCGGGGCAGGGUGAGUCGACCCCUAAGGCGAGGCCGAAAGGCGUAGUCGAUGGGAAACAGGUUAAUAUUCCUGUACUUGGUGUUACUGCGAAGGGGGGACGGAGAAGGCUAUGUUGGCCGGGCGACGGUUGUCCCGGUUUAAGCGUGUAGGCUGGUUUUCCAGGCAAAUCCGGAAAAUCAAGGCUGAGGCGUGAUGACGAGGCACUACGGUGCUGAAGCAACAAAUGCCCUGCUUCCAGGAAAAGCCUCUAAGCAUCAGGUAACAUCAAAUCGUACCCCAAACCGACACAGGUGGUCAGGUAGAGAAUACCAAGGCGCUUGAGAGAACUCGGGUGAAGGAACUAGGCAAAAUGGUGCCGUAACUUCGGGAGAAGGCACGCUGAUAUGUAGGUGAAGUCCCUCGCGGAUGGAGCUGAAAUCAGUCGAAGAUACCAGCUGGCUGCAACUGUUUAUUAAAAACACAGCACUGUGCAAACACGAAAGUGGACGUAUACGGUGUGACGCCUGCCCGGUGCCGGAAGGUUAAUUGAUGGGGUCAGCGCAAGCGAAGCUCUUGAUCGAAGCCCCGGUAAACGGCGGCCGUAACUAUAACGGUCCUAAGGUAGCGAAAUUCCUUGUCGGGUAAGUUCCGACCUGCACGAAUGGCGUAAUGAUGGCCAGGCUGUCUCCACCCGAGACUCAGUGAAAUUGAACUCGCUGUGAAGAUGCAGUGUACCCGCGGCAAGACGGAAAGACCCCGUGAACCUUUACUAUAGCUUGACACUGAACAUUGAGCCUUGAUGUGUAGGAUAGGUGGGAGGCUUUGAAGUGUGGACGCCAGUCUGCAUGGAGCCGACCUUGAAAUACCACCCUUUAAUGUUUGAUGUUCUAACGUUGACCCGUAAUCCGGGUUGCGGACAGUGUCUGGUGGGUAGUUUGACUGGGGCGGUCUCCUCCUAAAGAGUAACGGAGGAGCACGAAGGUUGGCUAAUCCUGGUCGGACAUCAGGAGGUUAGUGCAAUGGCAUAAGCCAGCUUGACUGCGAGCGUGACGGCGCGAGCAGGUGCGAAAGCAGGUCAUAGUGAUCCGGUGGUUCUGAAUGGAAGGGCCAUCGCUCAACGGAUAAAAGGUACUCCGGGGAUAACAGGCUGAUACCGCCCAAGAGUUCAUAUCGACGGCGGUGUUUGGCACCUCGAUGUCGGCUCAUCACAUCCUGGGGCUGAAGUAGGUCCCAAGGGUAUGGCUGUUCGCCAUUUAAAGUGGUACGCGAGCUGGGUUUAGAACGUCGUGAGACAGUUCGGUCCCUAUCUGCCGUGGGCGCUGGAGAACUGAGGGGGGCUGCUCCUAGUACGAGAGGACCGGAGUGGACGCAUCACUGGUGUUCGGGUUGUCAUGCCAAUGGCACUGCCCGGUAGCUAAAUGCGGAAGAGAUAAGUGCUGAAAGCAUCUAAGCACGAAACUUGCCCCGAGAUGAGUUCUCCCUGACUCCUUGAGAGUCCUGAAGGAACGUUGAAGACGACGACGUUGAUAGGCCGGGUGUGUAAGCGCAGCGAUGCGUUGAGCUAACCGGUACUAAUGAACCGUGAGGCUUAACCUUACAACGCCGAAGGUGUUU